CCUACGGGAGGCAGCAGUGGGGAAUAUUGGACAAUGGGCGAAAGCCUGAUCCAGCCAUGCCGCGUGAGUGAUGAAGGCCUUAGGGUUGUAAAGCUCUUUUGUCCGGGAAGAUAAUGACGGUACCGGAAGAAUAAGCCCCGGCUAACUUCGUGCCAGCAGCCGCGGUAAUACGAAGGGGGCUAGCGUUGUUCGGAUUUACUGGGCGUAAAGCGCACGUAGGCGGAUCUUUAAGUCAGAGGUGAAAUCCCAAGGCUCAACCUUGGAACUGCCUUUGAUACUGGGGAUCUCGAGUUCGGGAGAGGUGAGUGGAACUGCGAGUGUAGAGGUGAAAUUCGUAGAUAUUCGCAAGAACACCAGUGGCGAAGGCGGCUCACUGGCCCGAUACUGACGCUGAGGUGCGAAAGCGUGGGGAGCAAACAGGAUUAGAUACCCCGGUAGUCCACGCCGUAAACGAUGGAUGCUAGCCGUUAGGCAGCUUGCUGCUUAGUGGCGCAGCUAACGCUUUAAGCAUCCCGCCUGGGGAGUACGGUCGCAAGAUUAAAACUCAAAGGAAUUGACGG
This 560-nucleotide ribosomal RNA is filed under the name uncultured bacterium. RNAcentral describes it as "bacterial SSU rRNA". It matches the Rfam family "Bacterial small subunit ribosomal RNA", at positions 338 to 916 of the family's 1533-position model. The record is from RNAcentral.